CUAGAGUGAGAUAGAGGCAAGCGGAAUUCCAUGUGUAGCGGUAAAAUGCGUAAAUAUAUGGAGGAACACCAGAGGCGUAGGCGGCUUGCUGGGUCUUUACUGACGCUGAGGCACGAAAGCGUGGGGAGCAAACAGGAUUAGAUACCCUGGUAGUCCACGCCGUAAACGAUGAGUACUAAGUGUCGGGUAAAACUGGUACUGAAGUUAACACAUUAAGUACUCCGCCUGAGUAGUACGUACGCAAGUAUGAAACUUAAAGGAAUUGACGGGACUCCGCACAAGCGGUGGAUCAUGUUGUUUAAUUCGAAGAUACACGAAAAACCUUACCAGGUCUUGACAUUUUCUUGCGAAGUUAUAGAAAUAUAAUGGAGGUUAUCAGGAAAACAGGUGGUGCAUGGUUGUCGUCAGCUCGUGUCGUGAGAUGUUAGGUUAAGUCCUAAAACGAGCGCAACCCUUGUCGUUAAUUGCCAGCAUGUAAUGAUGGGGACUUUAACGAGACUGCCAAUGAAAAAUUGGAGGAAGGUGGGGAUUACGUCAAAUCAUCAUGCCCCUUAUGAUCUGGGCUACAAACGUGAUACAAUGGUUGAUACAAAGAGUAGCUGAAACGCGAGUUCUUAGCCAAUCUCAAAAAAUCAAUCUCAGUUCGGAUUGAAGU
Molecule: ribosomal RNA, 655 nt
Filed under: Candidatus Phytoplasma pruni
Lineage: Bacteria; Bacillati; Mycoplasmatota; Mollicutes; Acholeplasmatales; Acholeplasmataceae
Description: bacterial SSU rRNA
Rfam family: Bacterial small subunit ribosomal RNA
Source: RNAcentral